CCUGGUCUUCCUCAAAGAUCAACAAGAUGCCGAAUACCUAGUAGUAUUUUGUGUUAGGUGGCAGACCUUCUUUCUAGUCUUCUUCCUAUAAAUACUGUCAGCCACUAUUUAGUCAUGGACAGACAAGCAAUGUGUCACUGCAGAGACGAACAAACUGUUGUUCAAAGUUUUUAACUACUUCGGUUUCAAAUUCAAUCCAGCUACGUCCCUCCUUUCCAAUGUUCAAAAAGCAAUUGAUCACUUCUUAACACUCCUUUGGCAUUUGUUUUUGUGUAUAAUUUUUCCCUCACCAGAUCUCUCUUUUGGUACCUUUCAAAAUAUUUGGGCGGUUAGCAGCACGUUUUGAACAGAAAAUGAGAGUAUCGCCCACGUUAUUUCUCGUCAAACAGGAGAUUGGACAACCUGGGAGCUAACCCCAUGAAGCCUACCAGUUUAUCGCAGUGAUUGUCACCGACUUCCCACUGCAGGCACUCUAUUGCAAACCACGAAGCAUACAACGCAUGCAGAUUCGGAAAAAAUGUCGUUAUGAGCUAUGAAUUAAACAGCACAUUCCGAGGCAGCGGAGUCUCCUGAAACAACCACAGCUGGUGAGUCAACGGCAACUUUCCAAACAUCCUGGAGGCUACCACCAAGUUCUGCAGCGAAAACAGGGGUAAAGAUCCCCGAACCCAGGCGUAUCCGCCGCUGAAGGCUGUCAGUCUCAAGACUCCCGAGGUUCGCCCGUUCAAAGUGAACAUGUACUGUAUAUUCAGGCACCAACCAUAAACGUCACAACUCUGGGACAGCGAGGAGUGUAUCCAGUUAUCCUGGAAUAUUGUAGAGGAGUGCGAGAACUCUCGAGGGACACGAUGUGGGCCAUCUCAAGGGUGGAGCGACGAACACAGAGCCUUAUCGUGUGGACUGCGGGGAUCGACUUUGACAAUUCAAGCUGCCCGCAAUUCAAAGAGUGCAUUGUAGGGUGGAUUGGUGUCAAGUCUUGGGGGCAUAGUUUUGAUUUGGGAUACUUUUGUUUGGUUUGAGGGUGCUUCCUGAGGCAGGAUAUUCCGAAUAGCAAAGUUGAUUUAAUCUUCGGUUUUCUUUGAGUGUUGUUUGUUGUCCUAGCUGUCA
This 1107-nucleotide small RNA is filed under the name Histoplasma ohiense. Its description in RNAcentral is "hypothetical lncRNA". Lineage: Eukaryota; Fungi; Ascomycota; Eurotiomycetes; Onygenales; Ajellomycetaceae. The record is from RNAcentral.